GAUGAACGCUGGCGGCGUGCCUAAUACAUGCAAGUCGAGCGAACAGACGAGGAGCUUGCUCCUCUGACGUUAGCGGCGGACGGGUGAGUAACACGUGGAUAACCUACCUAUAAGACUGGGAUAACUUCGGGAAACCGGAGCUAAUACCGGAUAACAUGUUGAACCGCAUGGUUCAACAGUGGAAGACGGUCUUGCUGUCACUUAUAGAUGGAUCCGCGCCGCAUUAGCUAGUUGGUAAGGUAACGGCUUACCAAGGCAACGAUGCGUAGCCGACCUGAGAGGGUGAUCGGCCACACUGGAACUGAGACACGGUCCAGACUCCUACGGGAGGCAGCAGUAGGGAAUCUUCCGCAAUGGGCGAAAGCCUGACGGAGCAACGCCGCGUGAGUGAUGAAGGUCUUCGGAUCGUAAAACUCUGUUAUUAGGGAAGAACAAAUGUGUAAGUAACUAUGCACGUCUUGACGGUACCUAAUCAGAAAGCCACGGCUAACUACGUG
This 497-nucleotide ribosomal RNA is filed under the name uncultured bacterium. RNAcentral describes it as "partial 16S ribosomal RNA". It matches the Rfam family "Bacterial small subunit ribosomal RNA", at positions 28 to 507 of the family's 1533-position model. The record is from RNAcentral.